This 726-nucleotide ribosomal RNA is filed under the name uncultured fungus. RNAcentral describes it as "SSU rRNA". It matches the Rfam family "Eukaryotic small subunit ribosomal RNA", at positions 333 to 1063 of the family's 1831-position model. The record is from RNAcentral. Lineage: Eukaryota; Fungi.
AUAGAGGCCUACCAUGGUGGUAACGGGUAACGGGGUGUUAGGGCACGACACCGGAGAGGGAGCCUGAGAAACGGCUACCACAUCCAAGGAUGGCAGCAGGCGCGCAAAUUACCCAAUCCCGACACGGGGAGGUAGUGACAAUAAAUAACAAUACGGGGUUCUUUAGGAUCUCGUAAUUGGAAUGAGUACAAUUUAAAUCUCUUAACGAGGAACAAUUGGAGGGCAAGUCUGGUGCCAGCAGCCGCGGUAAUUCCAGCUCCAAUAGCGUAUAUUAAAGUUGUUGCAGUUAAAAAGCUCGUAGUUGAAUUUCGGGGUUAGUAGGUUGGUCAUGCCUCUGGUAUGUACUGGUCUCACUGAUUCCUCCUUCCUUAUGAACCGUAAUGCCAUUAAUUUGGUGUUGCGGGGAAUUUGGACUGUUACUUUGAAAAAAUUAGAGUGUUUAAAGCAAGCUAACGCUUGAAUACAUUAGCAUGGAAUAAUGAAAUAGGACGUUCGAUCUUAUUUUGUUGGUUUCUAGGAUUGACGUAAUGAUUAAUAGGGAUAGUUGGGGGCAUUAGUAUUCAAUUGUCAGAGGUGAAAUUCUUGGAUUUAUUGAAGACUAACUACUGCGAAAGCAUUUGCCAAGGAUGUUUUCAUUAAUCAAGAACGAAAGUUAGGGGAUCGAAGACGAUCAGAUACCGUCGUAGUCUUAACCAUAAACUAUGCCGACUAGGGAUCGGAUGAUGU